Trachemys scripta elegans is the source of this 4414-nucleotide long non-coding RNA. RefSeq lists it as uncharacterized. The record is from RefSeq and is a predicted model, not a curated record. The transcript is spliced from 2 exons. NCBI's taxonomy places the organism in Eukaryota, Metazoa, Chordata, Testudines, Emydidae.
GCCACAACAUUUCAAUCUCGCUUUUUAACCCACCAAAAUUCAGGGAUCUGGGGGUUUGCCUCAUCCCAUUAUAGACUAUAGAAGAAAGGGGUCGGCUUUGCAAUCAGGAUCUGAGUUUGGAUUCUGAGUUCACUUCAGAGCUGUUCAGGUCCAAAGUCUACGCUCUGGCCCAUGUUUAGUAGAUUCACACUUCUCCUGAAAAGUCAGCCCCGGUGACUAGCUUUGUGGUGGCCACAGUCCGCAGCCCACGCACUGGUUUGCAGAGAGAGACCCUGCUUCAGCACGGCAUGACCAUAGAUUUACACGUGAAAUCGAAGGAGUUACCCUGGUGCAGCACUGGAGACAGCAGCGAUGAACGGGGCCAACGCAGUGAUCUGUCUAUGGGCUAAAAGCUGCAGAUGGAUGGAAUUUAAAUUCCCAUUUUGUGGCACAGCGGCUCGUAGCCUUUGGAGUUGCAACCUGAGAGCAGAGCAUAAAUGUAGAGGGGGAAACCAGAACUCAGUAAAACUCCCUAGCACGUUGGCCACCCAUGGGCUUCCUGGUGCUGGGAGGACACAUAUUGGCCAGAUCUUCAGCUUGUGUAAAUCAGCAUAGCACUAUUGACUUCAGUGAGACUCCAACCAGGGGUGUGGCCCAGAGUAAUGCAACCCGGUGGGAUUAUGAGGCAGAUGCUGCCAAGUCUGGUUGAGGAUGCUCAGUGCUUUACAUGGGGAGUUUACAGGAUCGGGUCCCUUCUACUUUCUCCCUUCCAUUCCCCAAAUGGGGCUUGCUAAAUCCAGAUUAGUGUGAGGUGUCUGCAAUCUAUAUCGUGCAGAGAGUUAGCUGAUCUCUCACAGACACAGCAGCCCAUUGGCAAAGUAAGAAUUGGCCAGGGCUCCAGCUCAAAGCAACGCACCAGAACCUCCUGGAAAAUGGGAGGUUUCCAGUGAAUUUUCCACAUUGUUGCUUUUCUGCCAGAAGUGCUUUCGGAUCGUGCGUGACGCCCUGUCACAACACCGCUACCAUCCUGCAUGGCUGACCUGCUAAUUGCAGGGAAAAGCUCUGGGGAGCCACGUGAGAAUCCUGCACCCAUGACACCACCCUGGAAAGCUCAGGGUGUUGCAUGCACCUUGAAAACAGGUGGCAGAUGAAAAAGGCCUGGCUUAAAAUCAAACCCAACGCAUGUAAAUUAGCAACACUCUCCCCCAUGGAGCGCUUCUGUUAGCACAGUCCAAUGUCCUUGCUUGCUGUAGCCUUUAAGGGAGAGCAGACUUUGAAUUCAAACAAACCAGAGGGCUUGUCCAUGGGAGGAAGGAACGCCAGGGAACCGGAAGGAUCCGUUGAAGUGUUUGGAAAUGCUGUGGGCUCCCUAUUUGAAUGGUCCGUGGCACUAUUAACACUGCAGCAGAGAAGGAACCAGAAGCAGAGAUGCUCCUGCAGAACUUUGUGUUGGGUCUUUUUUCUACCUCUUUGAACAAGGGAUCCUGCAGGAGCCUCUUUUUCAUGCUUGCCUGAGUUUAGCAACACAGUUAAGGCUAAACUGCCACACCUGUGCACGGGGUGGGGUCAGGAGAAAGCAGCAUGGCAUUGUGGGAUAGCUGAGGUUGCUAGAUAAGGCCACAGUGGCUGUAGUCAGGGAUAGACCAGAGGGAGGGUGGUCUGAGGUGGGGUGGGGCUGCUGGCAUGUUCAGUAGGGCGCUCUAGGGCUGUAGGCUAAGGUGAUUUGAGCUCCAGGAUGGUGUUUUGUUUGUAGUUUCUGGUUAUUGAACAAACAUAGAUCUGUAUCUCGUGCUUCACAAAAAGUAAUGAUUGAUAUUUAUUUGUUUAGUGGCUAAACGCUUCUGGGGUUCAUUUACAUUACAGAUGGAACUGAGCUGUAAAGUCUACCUCUAUCUAGCUUAGAAAGUUCUAGGGUGCCAGAGUAUCUCAGUGCUACGUGGAAUAUUUAAGCGUUGCAGAGCUAGUAGCCAGGAUGCAUCUAAAUCUCCUCAAUGUUCAGGAGGCUCCAAAUCCAUGGUUUUGAUUUAGCCCAUUAGAUAGCAAGGGCCCAACUGCGAAGUUCAGGUCUAGAUCCGAAGUUUGCUUUGGGGGACGAGAACUGGUGUUGGAAUUCAUCUCUGAUUUGCAUCCUUCUAAAGUCUGCCUGUAUAAAAAUGUCCUGCUAGGCAGCAUCCUGUGGGUAAGAAUGCAUCAGGAGAGGUUUUUCUUAGGAGUGCUCAACACUCUUUUGGUGGUACCCAAUGUAUGGAAGAUGUAUCCCUUACCUCACAGGACUCCCAACCGAAAUUAGAGACUGUUCACCCAUAGCACUAAACGCACAUCCCACUAACGUGUGAAUACAAUACGCAGUAUGGAGGAGAUCAGGCCUUCAGUGCUGAUGCAAAGGAUAGUCAUAUCAUGCGUUUUCCCCAUACUAAAUGGUCCUUACAUGAUAAUGACUGAUAAUUACUAGGGCUUAUUAUGUGCUAGGUGCUUCCCAACAUGGUCUCUGCUCUUACUCUAAAGAAUCUUAGAAACUGGAAAUGCAUCUUUGGUAACAAAGGGCUCCUAUGUGUGUCCCUCAUAAAAGUAUUUCCCCUUCCUAGUUUCAAAGCCCAAAGAAAGGAAGAAAUUGCAUAGAGCCAAUAGCCCAAGAGAGGGUUCAUGUGCCAGCCUGAUCUAUCAGCUGUAGAUUUGUACCAUAAGUUUGAAUCCUAAACUUCGCAGCAUGUGGCUUGCCUGUAAGAGACUCUGGUCCUCAGAGGUGGAAUACAGAAUUUGUUAUACUGGAUGACACCAGGGAUCCAUUUAGUCCAACUUCCUCCUUUCCUGGAGUAGCAGAUACUUGAUGCUCUGAAGGAAGGGAUUAACCCCUGAUAAUGCAGCUAGAUGAAACUGUGUAUGCGGAGGGAAAUCUCUUCCUGGCCUCUGAAGGCAACCAGUUUGCAUCCUACUACAAGAGCUAGGAUGAGAGAGAAUUCACUGAUAAAAGUCUAAAGCAUGAAACCUAAAUAAUUAUACCAGAAAAAGUCUUGAAUGAUCCUAACACAGGAAAAUGGAAAUCAGACGACCACCAGGGAGCAUUUCCACCCUGGAGAGCUAACAAACAACAGUUUUAUGCUACGUGAAAGCUAUUGGUCAGUUGAUGCAGAACAGCAUCAGUAAGGUUUGCCGUACGUUUGUCUAGUCCAUAGACUUGUGCUUAAUGUUCUUGUCCAGGUUUCUAUGCUGUAUGUAUUCUGUGUUUCAACAGUAAAGUACAAUGCCAGGAGGAAAUGUUCAUUUCUCAUACAAGUCCUUUGGCAGUACAUAGCAAUGUGUCCCCUCUCCUUUUCCUAGCUUAACUUUCCCCAAGAUGAUUCCUCAGUGUCAGGAGAUAAGGCGCACAUUUUGGAUGCAUCAUCAUACAACCCAGGAUCAGCAGAGCUCUGUGCAUUGCAUGGCAGGACAGGAAGGGUAUCUUCUUGUAUAACAACUUGGCCUCACCGGACAUGCCUCGUCAUGAGUGAGAUAGAGCCUAUGGAAGUCCGUGGGAGUCUUUCCAUUGAAUUCAAUGGGUUUGGGAUUAAGCCAUUUGCAACUAGCUCAUGUCCACUUUGGCCCACCCCUAGCAUUCAGAAAUCAUAAGUCAGGCCCCCAAAACACUGGGUUUUAAACAAUGGCAACUUUGGGGUUCUUUUUAUUUGGGUUCUCUUCUAAAACCAAGGGGAACAAAAUCUGCUUUUGGAGUUUUGGGGUUCACCUUUUCCAGCUUUUCUCUGCAACCAGGAAAGCUAGAAACGUUAAUGAAAGAUGAGAGUAUCCCAUAUUCAUAUGAUUCCAGGAGCUGGAGUUUCUGAAAAAACACCUAAUAUCCUGAGACGGGCAAUAAAUAAUAAAUAAAUCCUGUUGCAUCCUACCUGACCUAGAAGGGCAAAUAGAACUCCCUUCACAGUUCAACACUCUUCCUUAGUCAUCCCAGAUGUACAGGGUAACACAACCCCAUUCAUUCCCUCCACCACUAUGUCCACAGCAAUCCCAGCGCAUGGUGGGUCAGAGGUUCCACAUGAGUUCCUUAUGACUCAUUCCCCUGGCCCAAUGAGAUCCAAGAAAGGUCCAUUUUCCCACUAUUCCUUAUAUAGGGUUGAUGGUUAAGCAUGUAGCUGUGAGGCCUUCUUUGUUGGAACUGGACCGUCAUAAAACUAAAGUUCCAACGUCUUUCCUAGGGAGACUUUUUUUUUAAUAUGCAUUUUCAUCUACAUGAUUUAACUGUGCGUUGGUCCUGUCAGAUGGAAGGACAACAAUGAGGAGUUAUUGCCCAGUCGUCAGACUCUGAUUUGGGUAGAACAAGCUACUUGGAGCCAGGACUCCUGAUUCUCUUCCUUGCUUGGCCGCUGAAUGGAUGAGCGUGAACGAGUCAUUGAACUCUGUGGCUCAGUUUACUCCUCUGUAAAAUCAAUAAAAUAAUACCUACAGA